Unclassified non-coding RNA from Macaca fascicularis (crab-eating macaque), 149 nucleotides. It matches the Rfam family "Metazoan signal recognition particle RNA". Rfam says of the family: The signal recognition particle (SRP) is a universally conserved ribonucleoprotein. The record is from Ensembl. NCBI's taxonomy places the organism in Eukaryota, Metazoa, Chordata, Mammalia, Primates, Cercopithecidae.
GCCAGGCAUGGCGAUGUGUGUCUGUAGUCUCAGUUACUCAGGAGGCUGAAGCAGGAGGAUUGCUUGAGCCCAGGGAGCUGGAGGCUGCAGUGAACCAUGAUGGCACCACUACACUCCAGCCUGGGCAACAGAGCAAGACCUUGUUUCUU